RNAcentral lists this unclassified non-coding RNA (329 nucleotides) under soil metagenome. RNAcentral describes it as "partial contains 5.8S ribosomal RNA, internal transcribed spacer 2, and large subunit ribosomal RNA". The stretch from base 1 to 120 matches the Rfam family "5.8S ribosomal RNA", at positions 35 to 154 of the family's 154-position model. The record is from RNAcentral.
GAUGAAGAACGUAGCGAAAUGCGAUAAGUAAUGUGAAUUGCAGAAUUCAGUGAAUCAUCGAAUCUUUGAACGCACAUUGCGCCCUCUGGUAUUCCGGGGGGCAUGCCUGUUCGAGCGUCAUUAUAACCACUCAAGCUCUCGCUUGGUAUUGGGGUUCGCGGUUUCGCGACCCCUAAAAUCAGUGGCGGUGCCUGUCGGCUCUACGCGUAGUAAUACUUCUCGCGAUUGAGUUCGAUAGGUCUACUUGCCAGUAACCCCCAAUUUUUACAGGUUGACCUCGGAUCAGGUAGGGAUACCCGCUGAACUUAAGCAUAUCAAUAAGCGGAGGA